UAUUGCGACCGUUUUGCGGUCGCCUGAAUGAGAGGAAGCCACCAUGGCACUCAGCGUUGAAGAAAAAGCCCAAAUCGUAAACGACUACAAGCAAGCUGAA
Molecule: regulatory RNA element, 100 nt
Organism: Pseudomonas sp. M30-35
Lineage: Bacteria; Pseudomonadati; Pseudomonadota; Gammaproteobacteria; Pseudomonadales; Pseudomonadaceae
Rfam family: Ribosomal S15 leader
About the family: The E. coli Ribosomal S15 gene 5' UTR can form two alternative structures. One that is a series of three hairpins, The other includes a pseudoknot. This structure causes translational regulation of the S15 protein.
Source: Rfam